RNAcentral lists this ribosomal RNA (534 nucleotides) under Trigonopterus sp. 762 AR-2022a. Its description in RNAcentral is "partial large subunit ribosomal RNA". It matches the Rfam family "Bacterial large subunit ribosomal RNA", at positions 1819 to 2625 of the family's 2925-position model. The record is from RNAcentral. Lineage: Eukaryota; Metazoa; Arthropoda; Insecta; Coleoptera; Curculionidae.
GGCUUGUUGAUUUUUAUUUCAGGUCUGGCCUGCCCAAUGAUUAUUUAAAUGGCUGCGGUAUAUUGACCGUACAAAGGUAGCAUAAUAAUUAGUUUCUUAAUUAGAAGCUUGAAUGAAUGGCUAAAUGAAAAAACUUCUGUCUCUUGGAAAAUUAACUAGAAUUUUAUUUUUAGGUGAAAAAGCUUAAAUAAAUGUUGAAGACGAGAAGACCCUAUAGAGUUUCAUAGUGUUGCUUAGGAUUAUUUUAAGGAAUAGAAAUUUUCUAUUUAAAUAAUUAUUUUAUUGGGGUGAUAGAAAAAUUUAUUGAACUUUCUUUUCGUUUAAACAUUUAUUUUUGAUUCUUUGAUCCUUGAAUUAAGAUUAUAAGAUUAAACUACCUUAGGGAUAACAGCGUUAUUUUUUUAAAAGUUCUUAUUGAAAAAAAAGUUUGCGACCUCGAUGUUGGAUUAAAAUUUACCUUUGGUGAAGAAGCUAGGGUGUUAGGUCUGUUCGACCUUUGAAAUUUUACAUGAUCUGAGUUUAAACCGGCGUGAG